UUAUAGUCUAAAGCCGUCUGUGUGCUGCCCCCUACAGGUUGAAACGAGGUAUUACAGUAGAAUUUUGUGAUUGUUCAAUUGGUUUAAGUCCCACAUAUUUCACAAGUUCUGCACCCUCAUGCUCUGCAGCUCCAGUAUAAAAGGUCCUCACAUCUUUGUGUGCUCGACACCGAGAGUUGAAGCUCACCACGCCACCGUUGGAGCUCUUUCCCGCAACGCCAUGAGCGGUGGAGGUUGCUCCGCGGUGUUGACGCCAUGAGCGGUGGAGGUCUCUCCGCUGAGAACGACAGAGCUUGAUUGCUCACUAAACCGGCCCUUGGCAAGAUGGCUGGUCGGCAGACAGGGAGCCACAGUGGGAUGGGGAGGCAGCCUGCUUGGGCCACCUAAACUUUUUUUUUUCUUUUUUUUUUUUUCUACAGAACAAAACA
This is a long non-coding RNA of Oryzias melastigma (Indian medaka), 428 nucleotides long. RefSeq lists it as uncharacterized. Lineage: Eukaryota; Metazoa; Chordata; Actinopteri; Beloniformes; Adrianichthyidae. The transcript has 2 exons. The record is from RefSeq and is a predicted model, not a curated record.